UGUGACACUUGUAUUUUUAUAUCUGAUUUUGUCAGCAAGUAGUUUUUAACCUUUUAAGACCAAUCAAACUCCUAAAAGGGGUACAGUAGUCUGGAAAACUUGGGAGCCACUGAUUUAGCUCCUCAGAAUGCCUGCUGAGCUGCCAUUAACCCUGUAGGUGUAUACAGUCACAAGAUAGCGAAGUUUCUGCAGGUAAAUACCUUAGGUGCCCACAUUUCUGCAAGUGCACAUGCCAGAGUCGUCCAAUCGCUGACAUUGCUGAACAGCGCAGGAGCUAAGGCCUGGCAGGAUUCACAAACUAGGCAUUCCCCAACCUGUCUUGUCUGUGGGACCUGCUACAGUAGGUGUACUCAUGGCAUGCCUAACCUGGACAAAAGACAACCAAGAAAGGGAUGCCCCUCCUCCCAGGUGAGUGCCCUAACCACUGGGCUAUUGAGCAUACGGGAUCACCACCUCCUUCUCUUCUUUGGCAUUUCCUCUGGGCUAGUUUAGGUGGCUCCCCACUCAUCUUGCUGACUUUUGUGAAUCCAAUUCUUCGGCACCUAAUACAUUGUAUAGGGAGCCUGGGCACCUAACUCAGGGCUGAGGAUUCCACCAGGCAUCAUGGUAGCUAAAAGUUACAUGCAGCAAUGGUAAGCCUACGUCCUUUUUGUGAAUAUCGCCUGUAGAUUCUAGGCUUGGUUCUGAAAUUUUGUGCUGUUGUUUUUGUUGGUACUUUUUGCCAACACUGAAUGAAGAUACGCUGGGCUGUGCAUGCAUGCUGUUAGUGCACAUGUUCACUGCAUACCUGCACAUAGCCUCAGUCACUGUACAGUUAAACAUCUACUCACAGGUGAGGAAGAUAUCAUUUUGCUGUUGUCUAGCCAUAAAGUGCAAAAGAAUAAUACUUUUUUAAAAUGAAUACAAAACACAAAAAAUCCAUACAAAUACUAUAUUAUUGUAUCUGAAGGUUUCACAGUUAGAUAUUAAAAGUCAGGCAAUAUGACAAUUAAAGCUGCAUGAGGUACUAUAAUGGGGUCUACAACCCCCAUACUGACCUUAGGCAGGAGGGGAAGGGGGACUCUCCCCUGUCUAUGGGCAAACAGCCCAACCACACCCAUGCACAGCUGCCAGUCAUGGAGGCAUGCACCCAUGGGGCAUAUCCUUUGCAGGUCACCACCACUGUUCCAUUGUUGACCGUCACGGAAUCACACUUAAAGCUGAACCUGGAAAGAGUCUCCCACAACUCCCUCUCCAAAUGCUUUCCUGAACUCCGCUGUGAGCUGCCUCUGUUCACAGCUCUUGAGUUUGCAAAGCAAGUGACCUUUUAUAUAAAGUCGCCCUGCUUAGCUCAGGUCAGCGCCACCCUUCUCCACCAGGGAGCGAUGAACCACUCAGAGACUUCAGACAGCUGGGUUGAUCAGCACUCCCAGGGUCAGAGCCUUGUGGUCCUUGUAAAGGAACCAGCAAACAGACCUGUCUUCUUUGCUUAUUCAGCUGCGGCACAGCCUUCAAGUCUAUACAUAGAGACCAAAUAAACAAACAACCCACAGAUGGGCCAAACACACCAUUCCCAUGUCCAGCUACCUCCAAGCACAGAGUCCACAGCUACAUCCUCUGAAACUCUCCUCUUAGCUGCCUUUGUUCGUGACAGAGAGUCACAAACUUUAAGGCCAGCUCAUCUAGUCUGACCUAUCACAGACCACCCAAUACCCAUACACUAAACAACAGAAACUAGACCCAAGUAUGACAGCCCAACACAGCUUCAGAGGAAAGUCGGGGAUGAGGGGGAGGAGAAUACCCUUUUUCUUAUUCGUAUACGAUGAAAGACAUAAUAAGUGCUGCUUCAUUGUGCUUUUUGAUUCACUAUCUAAAAACCUGAGAUGGUUAAAACGGAUAUUGGAAAAAGAAAAGGAGUACUUGUGGCACCUUAGAGACUAACAAAUUUAUUUGAGCA
Long non-coding RNA from Dermochelys coriacea (leatherback sea turtle), 1936 nucleotides. RefSeq lists it as uncharacterized. NCBI's taxonomy places the organism in Eukaryota, Metazoa, Chordata, Testudines, Dermochelyidae. The transcript is spliced from 3 exons. The record is from RefSeq and is a predicted model, not a curated record.